RNAcentral lists this ribosomal RNA (516 nucleotides) under uncultured bacterium. Its description in RNAcentral is "bacterial SSU rRNA". It matches the Rfam family "Bacterial small subunit ribosomal RNA", at positions 23 to 518 of the family's 1533-position model. The record is from RNAcentral.
CUCAGAACGAACGCUGGCGGCGUGCUUAACACAUGCAAGUCGAACGCGAAAGGGACUUCGGUCCUGAGUAAAGUGGCGCACGGGUGAGUAACGCGUAGAUAACCUGUCUUCAUGUCUGGAAUAAUACGCCGAAAGGGGUACUAAUACCGGAUAUUCUUGCUUUUCAUAAGUUAUGCAAGCAAAGGUGGCCUCUGCAUAUGCUACUGCAUGAAGAGGGGUCUGCGUACCAUUAGCUAGUAGGUGGGGUAAUGGCCUACCUAGGCGACGAUGGUUAGCGGGUCUGAGAGGAUGAUCCGCCACACUGGCACUGGAACACGGGCCAGACUCCUACGGGAGGCAGCAGUGAGGAAUAUUGCGCAAUGGGGGAAACCCUGACGCAGCGACGCCGCGUGAAGCGAGGAAGGCCUUCGGGUCGUAAAGCUCUGUCAAGAGGAAAGAAGUGUACAAUGGCUAAUACCUGUUGUAUUUGACGGUACCCCUAAAGGAAGCACCGGCUAACUCCGUGCCAGCCGCCGC